AAUUUGUUAACCCAACACAGGCAUGCACUAAAGAAAGACAAAAAGCCGUAAAAGGAACUCGGCAACAACCUGUCCCAACUGUUUACCAAAAACAUAGCCUUUAGCUUUACAAGUAUUAAAGGUCCCGCCUGCCCAGUGACUUUUUAAACGGCCGCGGUAUCCUAACCGUGCAAAGGUAGCAUAAUCACUUGUCCCCUAAAUAGGGACUGGAAUGAAUGGCUAAAUGAGGACAAAACUGUCUCUUACGGACUAGCCAAUGAAAUUGAUCCUCCAGUACAAAAGCUGGAAUAAACACAUAAGACGAGAAGACCCUGUGGAGCUUAAAAACCAAAAGUAUCAAAUAUGCUUCCUGGAUUUUUAGUUGGGGCGACUUCGGAGCAAAAAAAACCCUCCAAAAUAUGAAUUUAUUUAUUAAGACUAACACACCAAAAAUAAUUUUUAUAGACCCAGCAGUUAUUCUACUGUCUGAUCAAUGAACCAAGUUACCCCAGGGAUAACAGCGCCAUCCUCUUCUAGAGUCCCUAUCGACAAGAGGGUUUACGACCUCGAUGUUGGAUCAGGACACCCCUAUAGUGCAGCCGCUAUAAAAGGUUCGUUUGUUCAACGAUUAAAGUCCUACGUGAUCUGAGUUCAGACCGGAGAAAUCCAGGUCGGUUUCUAUCUAUGCAGCACUAUUUUUAGUACGAAAGGACCAAAAUAGUGGGACCUAUACUAAAUAAACGUCCCAAAAUAAACUACUGACUUCUACUAAAGUAGUUAUUAUGCUUUUCUCCUAAAUCAAAAUCAGGUUUAUUAAGGUGGCAGAGUCAAGCAAUGCAAAAGACCUAAAAUCUUUCUACAGGGA
This is a non-coding RNA of Podarcis lilfordi (Lilford's wall lizard), 844 nucleotides long. The record is from the annotation of a GenBank genome assembly. NCBI's taxonomy places the organism in Eukaryota, Metazoa, Chordata, Lepidosauria, Squamata, Lacertidae.